AGGAUCGUUGUAACUCUGCGGAAUGGAACAUAGGAUUCCUAAUCCUGGGGCCGUGGGUUCGAAACCCGACGGACCUACCA
Molecule: transfer RNA, 80 nt
Filed under: Azospirillum sp. OGB3
Lineage: Bacteria; Pseudomonadati; Pseudomonadota; Alphaproteobacteria; Rhodospirillales; Azospirillaceae
Description: tRNA-Arg
Source: RNAcentral